Molecule: long non-coding RNA, 339 nt
Filed under: Setaria viridis
Lineage: Eukaryota; Viridiplantae; Streptophyta; Magnoliopsida; Poales; Poaceae
Description: long non-coding RNA (SVIR_LNC000244)
Source: RNAcentral
GAGAGGAAGCAGUGGAGUGAGAGAGAGGCCGGUGGUGUGUUGGGAAAUGAUAACGUAGUAGUGGGGGAGAGAGAGGCUAGUGGGGUGGUGAUAAGUUAAGGCCGGUGCGGAAAGAGAGUAGAUCGGGAGGAAUUAAAAAAAAAGAGUAGUCCUGGUUGUCGGUUUCAACCGGGACUAGAAGAAUUCCUUUAGUUCCGGUUGGAGCCACAAACUGGGACUUAUUCAUUUACUCCCGACUGGUAGCUCUAACCAGGAUUAAAAGCUCCACUUUUAUCUCGUUUGGAACCACCAACCGGGACUAAAAGAGCUCUGAAGGACUACGAAAUUUAGACCUAGGAC